GCCGGGGUGGCGGAACUGGCAGACGCAUCGGACUUAAAAUCCGAAGGUCCCACAAGGACCGUGCGGGUUCGAUUCCCGCCCCCGGCA
RNAcentral lists this transfer RNA (87 nucleotides) under Acidobacteriota bacterium. RNAcentral's name for it is "Acidobacteria bacterium tRNA-Leu". It matches the Rfam family "tRNA". From Rfam's summary of the family: Transfer RNA (tRNA) molecules are approximately 80 nucleotides in length. The record is from RNAcentral. RNAcentral also lists the same sequence under 1 other name. Lineage: Bacteria; Pseudomonadati; Acidobacteriota.